RNAcentral lists this ribosomal RNA (403 nucleotides) under uncultured bacterium. RNAcentral's name for it is "partial 16S ribosomal RNA". It matches the Rfam family "Bacterial small subunit ribosomal RNA", at positions 30 to 526 of the family's 1533-position model. The record is from RNAcentral.
AUUGAACGCUGGCGGCAGGCCUAACACAUGCAAGUCGAGCGAGCGGCGGACGGGUGAGUAAUGUCUGGGGACUGCCCGAUAGAGGGGGAUAACUACUGGAAACGGUAGCUAAUACCGCAUACUAUCGGAUAACCCAUAUGGGAUUAGCUAGUAGGUGAGGUAAUGGCUCACCUAGGCGACGAUCCCUAGCUGGUCUGAGAGGAUGACCAGCCACACCAGGACUGAGACAAUGCCCAGACUCCUCCGGAGGCAGCAGUGGGGAAUAUUGCGCAAUGGGCGCAAGCCUGGUGCAGCCAUGCCGCGUGUAUGAAGAAGGCCCUGGGGUUGUAAAGUACUUUCAGUCGGGAGGCGUUACCGACAGAAGAAGCACCGGCUAACUCCGUGCCAGCAGCCGCGGUAAUAC